GAUGAAGAACGUAGCGAAAUGCGAUAAGUAAUGUGAAUUGCAGAAUUCAGUGAAUCAUCGAAUCUUUGAACGCACAUUGCGCCCGCCAGUAUUCUGGCGGGCAUGCCUGUUCGAGCGUCAUUACAACCCUCAGGCCCCCGGGCCUGGCGUUGGGGAUCGGCGGAAGCCCCCUGCGGGCACAACGCCGUCCCCCAAAUACUGUGGCGGUCCCGCCGCAGCUUCCAUUGCGUAGUAGCUAACACCUCGCAACUGGAGAGCGGCGCGGCCACGCCGUAAAACACCCAACUUCUGAAUGUUGACCUCGAAGCAGGUAGGAAUACCCGCUGAACUUAAGCAUAUCAAUAAGCGGAGGA
RNAcentral lists this unclassified non-coding RNA (353 nucleotides) under soil metagenome. Its description in RNAcentral is "partial contains 5.8S ribosomal RNA, internal transcribed spacer 2, and large subunit ribosomal RNA". The stretch from base 1 to 120 matches the Rfam family "5.8S ribosomal RNA", at positions 35 to 154 of the family's 154-position model. The record is from RNAcentral.